RNAcentral lists this transfer RNA (73 nucleotides) under Actinomycetota bacterium. RNAcentral's name for it is "tRNA-Arg". It matches the Rfam family "tRNA". Rfam says of the family: Transfer RNA (tRNA) molecules are approximately 80 nucleotides in length. Their secondary structure includes four short double-helical elements and three loops (D, anti-codon, and T loops). The record is from RNAcentral. Lineage: Bacteria; Bacillati; Actinomycetota.
GCCUCGGUAGCUCAGUGGAUAGAGCAGCGCUCUCCUAAGGCGCGUGUCGCAGGUUCGAUUCCUGCCCGGGGCA